RNAcentral lists this ribosomal RNA (666 nucleotides) under Nostoc sp. 790-AC2. RNAcentral's name for it is "partial 16S ribosomal RNA". It matches the Rfam family "Bacterial small subunit ribosomal RNA", at positions 99 to 795 of the family's 1533-position model. Lineage: Bacteria; Bacillati; Cyanobacteriota; Cyanophyceae; Nostocales; Nostocaceae. The record is from RNAcentral.
CGGACGGGUGAGUAACGCGUGAGAAUCUGGCUCUNGGUCUGGGACAACCACUGGAAACGGUGGCUAAUANCGGAUGUGCCGAGAGGUGAAAAGGUUAACUGCCUAGAGAUGAGCUCGCGUCUGAUUAGCUAGUUGGAAGUGUAAUGGACUCCCNAGGCGACGAUCAGUAGCUGGUCUGAGAGGACGAUCANCCNCNCUGGGACUGAGACACGGCCCAGACUCCUACGGGAGGCANCAGUGGGGAAUUUUCCGCAAUGGGCGAAANCCUGACGGAGCAAUNCCGCGUGAGGGAGGAANGCUCUUGGGUCGUAAACCUCUUUUCUCAGGGAAGAAACACNAUGACGGUACCUGAGGAAUAAGCNUCGGCUAACUCCGUGCCANCANCCGCGGUAAUACGGAGGAUGCNNGCGUUAUCCGGAAUGANUGGGCGUANNNNGUCCGCANGUGGCAAUGUAAGUCUGCUGUUANAGAGUCUAGCUCANCUANAUAUAAAGCAGNGGAAACUACNUANCUAGAGUACNUUCGGGGCANAGGGAAUUCCUGGUGUANCGGUGAAAUGCGUAGAGAUCAGGAAGAACACCGGUGGCGAAGGCGCUCUGCUAGGCCGUAACUGACACUGAGGGACGAAAGCUAGGGGAGCGAAUGGGAUUAGAUACCCCAGUAGUC